RNAcentral lists this transfer RNA (69 nucleotides) under Astalotermes cf. obstructus RDCT140. RNAcentral describes it as "tRNA-Phe". It matches the Rfam family "tRNA". Rfam says of the family: Transfer RNA (tRNA) molecules are approximately 80 nucleotides in length. Their secondary structure includes four short double-helical elements and three loops (D, anti-codon, and T loops). The record is from RNAcentral. Lineage: Eukaryota; Metazoa; Arthropoda; Insecta; Blattodea; Termitidae.
ACUUAAAUAGCUUAUAUUUAGAGCACGACACUGAAGAUGUUGAUGAGGUAAGUUUAUUACCUUUAAGUA